GUACACUGCUGAAGCUUUAGUAUCAUGGUCCUGAAAACUUCCAAGGCUGGAGCCUGGCAAUCUGUCUCAAUGUUUGACUGUCCUCAUGCCUCACCAACGAAUUCGUAUUCAUUAAGAACUCUACCCARAAUUUCCAUUUGGAUUGGACACCAUGAUACGGCUCAACUCCAAUACGAAUCUUCCACUUGGAACAGGCUUCUAGCACCCUCUCACAAGAAGGUUCCUUCGUUGAUAUAGAAUUACUCAGCUGCAGGGCAUCUCAGCAAGUGGYU
This is a long non-coding RNA of Nothoprocta perdicaria, 272 nucleotides long. RefSeq lists it as uncharacterized. Lineage: Eukaryota; Metazoa; Chordata; Aves; Tinamiformes; Tinamidae. The transcript is spliced from 3 exons. The record is from RefSeq and is a predicted model, not a curated record.